Molecule: ribosomal RNA, 253 nt
Filed under: uncultured bacterium
Lineage: Bacteria
Description: partial 16S ribosomal RNA
Rfam family: Bacterial small subunit ribosomal RNA
Source: RNAcentral
UACGUAGGGGGCAAGCGUUGUCCGGAUUUAUUGGGCGUAAAGAGCGUGUAGGCGGCCAGGUAGGUCCGUUGUGAAAACUCGAGGCUCAACCUCGAGACGCCGAUGGAAACCAUCUGGCUAGAGUCCGGAAGAGGAGAGUGGAAUUCCUGGUGUAGCGGUGAAAUGCGCAGAUAUCAGGAAGAACACCCGCGGCUAAGGCGGCUCUCUAGUACGGUACUGACGCUGAGACGCGAAAGCGUGGGGAGCGAACAGG